CUCCUCCGCCGCCGCUCGGGAAGCUUCUCCUCGGCGGAGGCGCGUGAAGACGGAGGCGUCGAGGGAGAACAAAGAGGGAGAACGCGGGGCUCGGUUUAACGGGGGGCCGCCAUGACGCCCGGCUCGUCCAAACGCUGAAGACCCCGGUGAGGCGCUCGGCUCGCGACGCUGCGGAGGUUGUGUCGGUGGAGGUGAUGAAGAUGAUGAUGCUGAUGAUGAUGAAGAAGCUCCGGGUCUGAGCCGUGUGCGCGCCGCGGCUGUCACGUGACUCCGCGGAGGCUGGAGGGAGGAGGAGGAGGAGGAGGAGGCGCUCAUCACCGGCAGGGGGCGCAGCGAGCGACCACGCCUUCUUUCUGUGUGACCUCACCUGGGCCCCAGGCUGAUGGCCCUUGAAGAAUCAAAUCAUCCUGGCUGUAAACAAGUGCUGGGGCCACCUAAUGGAGUAAUGACUGUUAGGAUGUGAUUCAACUUCCAUCUGCUGGUUAGAAGGAGGAACCACAACCAACAACUUCCUGUGUACACGGCUUUUCUGUGAGAGGACUCUGCUGAAUGUCUCAAAGAGGCUGAGCGAUGAAAACGUGUACAUUGGAAAUAAGAAAGUAAAGUAAGAUAAAACAGAAUAUAUUAAAAUAAGGGGUGAUCUAGUGAAGCCAUGUCUAGGUUUGUAUAAACACACAUUAACAACAGUUUAAAGUUCAAAAGGCACUUCUUUAAUAAUCAAUGAUUAUGUACAUCUGUACAGACAAAGAAACGUGCCACAAAUGCCCUUGUUCAACUGCUUUACAUUUAAAAUGUUCAUACUUUCAACAGAAAAAACAUUGGACUCAAUA
Molecule: long non-coding RNA, 830 nt
Organism: Hippoglossus stenolepis (Pacific halibut)
Lineage: Eukaryota; Metazoa; Chordata; Actinopteri; Pleuronectiformes; Pleuronectidae
Exons: 2
Source: RefSeq, a predicted model, not a curated record